Molecule: long non-coding RNA, 1917 nt
Organism: Scylla paramamosain (green mud crab)
Lineage: Eukaryota; Metazoa; Arthropoda; Malacostraca; Decapoda; Portunidae
Exons: 3
Source: RefSeq, a predicted model, not a curated record
UAAAGAAUGUGUUUAUAUAAAAAUCAUAAAACGAGGUAAUUAGUAAAGAGUUUUUAAAUAACCCUGGGAGGACUUGGAGCAAUUGGCAGCCCUGAUCAGAUGAUGGGAAGCAAUGAGAGGUUGGUCAUUCUGAUCGCUAUUACUUGUGGCGACUGGCGAGGGUGGCAGUGGUUGCCAAUGUCUCGAUCUGGUAAGGUGUUCUCGUGGCUCUGGUUGGGUAACGGCGUCCUGCAUGGUUCUCAACAACAAACAGCGAGAACGGAUAAUAAUGUCUACUGAGAUUCCUUGGAAGUCAUCAAUAAUAAAGUCUACUGAGAUUCCGUGGAAGUCAUCAGAAAAAAAAAAAAAAAAAAACAGCGUGAGAAUGAUGCUGGGGGUUGUAGCAAGACAUCAGCUGUUAGCCUAGUGUUACUUGGUCUUGUGUUCAGGAUUUACUUGUUGCACAGGUGGGCAACGUUAUGCUCGAGCCGCUUCCACGUGCCUCGAGCUCCGCCACCCGCUGGCGCCACACCGAAGGGCCAUCAAGACUACUUCAAUGUAGACUUCUCCCGACCAGCGUCCUCAUAUAUAUAAUUACGUGUGUUCUGAGGGGUGUGAGUGGUGUAAAACGGGUAAGGUACCGCAACAUCGCAGUCAUAUGGCGCGUAUUUUCAUUAAUGACGUGAUAUUGAAAGGGAGAAAGUCUUAGAAAUAGUGAUGUGGAUGUAUCUUUACUUACGACUUUUGCUCCUACAACUGCCACCACCAACCCCGCCUUAUCAAUGCGAUGUCUUUUCAGAAGAUUCACUUCGAAAAAGAAAAUAAAAUAAAAACCUAAAAAAAUGAAAACCUAAAGAAAAAAAAAAGAUUGGAAAGACGGCAGCUGCUUUUCCAGAGGUGUUCUCGACCGUCCUCGGUUCCUUUGUUAGUAAUCUACAAAUUUUUUUCUCUCCGACUCGUUUCCAAGAGUUGAACCCCUGGACUUUAAUCAUCGUCCACCGCUCCCAAAUCCUACCUCUGCUUUUUUUUUUUCUUUUUAGUUGUUGAUCAAUAGUGAGUGGCACUUAAUGGCCCAGUUGUUGGUGAACGGCGCAGUAAUAAGUGAUUGGAGUUACACUGCUGUUCAAAGCCAGUGGGAUAGAAUUGCAAGCUCGGUAUGUGGGUCUCAGGGUUUUUUGUACGUAUAUUGCAAUCAUGUUUUUGUAUUGAGUGGUUACCUGAACACCUGUCUAGAGUUUGGCGUGUCUCAUGUCGCCCUUAGAAUGAUGUCGUUGGUAAGCCACUCACUAGUUGUCCCAAAUAAAGCCGGUUCGGGUUUGAAGUGUUCCAUAAGCGAGGCCAUCGUUAGUGCUGGAUAUUGGUUAUUAAAGCCGCGUCCGCUCUUGCCUGGCAGGCUCUGCUCUCUCAUCUACUGAAUUCUGCAAGGGACGUUUAUGUUGCGGUAACUAAAGAGACAGUCAGUAGCCGCUCGCAGGCUUUUUUAUGUUUUGAUGACCAAGAUACGGACGACACCUGAAUCAAGAAAUAUAGCGCCGUUACUAUGAUUGCUGGGUGCGUUAUGAAGAGAAAGAAUGGUAUAAAGAGUGGUAAAGGGGGAUUCAUAUGUAAUUUCGUCUGUCUGGCAACGUCCUCCCUUGAUACCCAGAUUCAAAGUACGUACCUGCCUGCCUCGUGAUUUUGCUGCUUAAGAACAAUGGUAUAAAUGCAUCCUUAGACUGUCGUCAUUAUUUUGGUUGUCGUGGUUGUUGCUUUGGUUGUAGCGGCUGCAGUUGUCAUGAUCGUUUUAUUUUUUCAUUGAAGUCCUAUUAUAACUUUAAAAUGCUAAAUUUUCACCUCCGAACAGGUAUCUUUUACAUAAACAAGGUGUGCAUACAAACCUGGUAACAAAGUUGAUGCUCCCACGCACAUCCUUUUGUCUGCACAAAAGGAUUGAUGCAA